UCCUCCCUUGCCUUUUUUCCUCUAAGGUGGGAAUAAGAGAGUGGGGAGGAGAAAAGGAGGAAAAAUGGAAAGAGAAAGAAAAGACAGGUGUGUAUCUGUGACCUCUAGCCAACUGACCCAAGGCUACAAGUAUAUGGCUAAUAAUGGUGGCACAAGGACCAGACAUCCAGGUGCGUUCCCUAAAACUACUCUUUCAUUUUUUCCUCAUCAUUCAGCUAAAAUCUCUUUUUAGAAAAUUACCUGUUUCAUCAUCACCACCACAAAACCCUUCAUCUGCCUCUCUUCCCCUUUAACCAGUUCCUUUUUCCUUGCUUUAGAGUCAAGCUCUGAAUAAGCUGGAAAUGUUUGGUGCAGACAAGUCAGCAACAAUUCUUUCUUGAGCAUCUACUGCAAGCAGAUAAUUGUGCUCACUUCUGAGGGUAGGAUGGGGUAUAAACCUAGGUAUGAAGUAGUCCUAAGGCAAGACUGUAAAAGGUACAGAGCGAUACUAAGGGAAGACUGUACUAGGUACAAAGUGGUACUAAGGGAAGACUGUACUAGGUACAAAGUGGCACUAAGGGAAGACUGUACUAGGUACAAAGUGGCACUAAGGGAAGACUGUACUAGGUACAAAGUGGUACCAAGGGAAGAUUAUUUAUUGGCACAUG
Molecule: long non-coding RNA, 647 nt
Filed under: Homo sapiens (human)
Lineage: Eukaryota; Metazoa; Chordata; Mammalia; Primates; Hominidae
Description: HSALNT0214554
Source: RNAcentral